This 77-nucleotide transfer RNA is filed under the name Hyphomonadaceae bacterium JAD_PAG50586_4. RNAcentral's name for it is "tRNA-Lys". It matches the Rfam family "tRNA". From Rfam's summary of the family: Transfer RNA (tRNA) molecules are approximately 80 nucleotides in length. Their secondary structure includes four short double-helical elements and three loops (D, anti-codon, and T loops). The record is from RNAcentral. Lineage: Bacteria; Pseudomonadati; Pseudomonadota; Alphaproteobacteria; Hyphomonadales; Hyphomonadaceae.
GAGCCCGUAGCUCAGUCGGUAGAGCAUCUGACUUUUAAUCAGAGGGUCUCGGGUUCGAGAUCCCGACGGGCUCACCA